Saimiri boliviensis boliviensis (Bolivian squirrel monkey) is the source of this 111-nucleotide small nuclear RNA. RefSeq annotates it as U5 spliceosomal RNA. NCBI's taxonomy places the organism in Eukaryota, Metazoa, Chordata, Mammalia, Primates, Cebidae. The record is from RefSeq and is a predicted model, not a curated record.
UGACUCUGGUUUCGCUUCAAAUCAUAUAAAUCUUUCACCUUUUACUAAGAUUUCCGUGUAGAGGAACAAUUCUGAGUUUUUUUUGUUUUUUGUUUUGAGACGGAGUUUCGC